Emiliania huxleyi CCMP1516 is the source of this 72-nucleotide non-coding RNA. NCBI's taxonomy places the organism in Eukaryota, Haptophyta, Isochrysidales, Noelaerhabdaceae. The record is from Rfam.
GCCGCCGUAGCUCAGCGGUAGAGCGUGGCACUCGUAAUGCUAAGGUCGCGAGUUCGAACCUCGCUGGCGGCU